Molecule: ribosomal RNA, 435 nt
Filed under: uncultured bacterium
Lineage: Bacteria
Description: partial 16S ribosomal RNA
Rfam family: Bacterial small subunit ribosomal RNA
Source: RNAcentral
GAUGAACGCUGGCGGUAUGCUUAACACAUGCAAGUCGAACGGACUCUUCGGAGUUAGUGGCGGACGGGUGAGUAACGCGUGAGAAUCUGGCUUUGGGUUCGGGACAACCACUGGAAACGGUGGCUAAUACCGGAUGUGCCGAGAGGUAAAAGAGAAAUUGCCUGAAGAUGAGCUCGCGUCUGAUUAGCUAGUUGGUGAGGUAAGGGCUCACCAAGGCAGCGAUCAGUAGCUGGUCUGAGAGGAUGACCAGCCACACUGGGACUGAGACACGGCCCAGACUCCUACGGGAGGCAGCAGUGGGGAAUUUUCCGCAAUGGGCGAAAGCCUGACGGAGCAAUACCGCGUGAGGGAAGAAGGCUCUUGGGGUGUAAACCUCUUUUCUUAGGGAAGAACAAAAUGACGGUACCUAAGGAAUCAGCAUCGGCUAACUCCGUG